AGAGUUUGAUCCUGGCUCAGGAUUAACGCUAGCGGCAGGCCUAAUACAUGCAAGUCGAGGGGCAGCAGGUGUAGCAAUACAUGCUGGCGACCGGCGCACGGGUGCGUAACACGUAUGCAAUCUUCCUUUAACUAGUGAAUAGCUUUGAGAAAUCAGAAUUAAUACACUAUAACAUUGCGAAAUGGCAUCAUUUUGCAAUUAAAGCUCCGGCGGUUAAAGAUGAGCAUGCGUCCCAUUAGCUAGUUGGCGAGGUAACGGCUCACCAAGGCAACGAUGGGUAGGGGUUCUAAGAGGAUUUACCCCCACACGGGAACUGAGACACGGUCCCGACUCCUACGGGGGCAGCAGUAAGGAAUAUUGGUCAAUGGACGCAAGUCUGAACCAGCCAUGCCGCGUGUAGGAUGAAGGUUCUAUGGAUUGUAAACUACUUUUGUACGGGAAAAAACCCCGGGUUUCUACCUGGGUUGAUGGUACCGUAAGAAUAAGGAUCGGCUAACUCCGUGCCAGCAGCCGCGGUAAUACGGAGGAUCCAAGCGUUAUCCGGAUUCACUGGGUUUAAAGGGUGCGUAGGUGGAAUUUCAAGUCAGUGGUGAAAACCUGCAGCUCAACUGUAGAACUGCCAUUGAUACUGUUAUUCUUGAGUACAUUUGAUGUGAGUGGAAUGUGUCGUAGCGGUGAAAUGCUUAGAUAUGACACAGAACACCAAUUGCGAAGGCAGCUCACAAAACUGUAACUGACACUGAGGCACGAAAGCGUGGGGAUCAAACAGGAUUAGAUACCCCAGUAGUCC
RNAcentral lists this ribosomal RNA (790 nucleotides) under uncultured bacterium. Its description in RNAcentral is "bacterial SSU rRNA". It matches the Rfam family "Bacterial small subunit ribosomal RNA", at positions 8 to 796 of the family's 1533-position model. The record is from RNAcentral.